Molecule: ribosomal RNA, 468 nt
Filed under: uncultured bacterium
Lineage: Bacteria
Description: partial 16S ribosomal RNA
Rfam family: Bacterial small subunit ribosomal RNA
Source: RNAcentral
GAUGAACGCUGGCGGCGUGCUUAACACAUGCAAGUCGAACGGUGAAGGCGGAGCUUGCUCUGCUGGAUCAGUGGCGAACGGGUGAGUAACACGUGAGCAAUCUGCCCCUGACUCUGGGAUAAGCGCUGGAAACGGCGUCUAAUACUGGAUACGAGCUGCGAAGGCAUCUUCAGCAGCUGGAAAGAAUUUCGGUCAGGGAUGAGCUUGCGGCCUAUCAGCUUGUUGGUGAGGUAAUGGCUCACCAAGGCGUCGACGGGUAGCCGGCCUGAGAGGGUGACCGGCCACACUGGGACUGAGACACGGCCCAGACUCCUACGGGAGGCAGCAGUGGGGAAUAUUGCACAAUGGGCGAAAGCCUGAUGCAGCAACGCCGCGUGAGGGACGACGGCCUUCGGGUUGUAAACCUCUUUUAGCAGGGAAGAAGCGAAAGUGACGGUACCUGCAGAAAAAGCGCCGGCUAACUACGUG